GGACUCGUGAUGUAGUGGUAACAUACUUGCCUUCCAAGCAAGAUACCUGGGUUCGAUUCCCAGCGUGUUCA
The sequence is a transfer RNA, 71 nucleotides long. It matches the Rfam family "tRNA". Rfam says of the family: Transfer RNA (tRNA) molecules are approximately 80 nucleotides in length. Their secondary structure includes four short double-helical elements and three loops (D, anti-codon, and T loops). Further hydrogen bonds mediate the characteristic L-shaped molecular structure. tRNAs have two regions of fundamental functional importance: the anti-codon, which is responsible for specific mRNA codon recognition, and the 3' end, to which the tRNAs corresponding amino acid is attached (by aminoacyl-tRNA synthetases). tRNAs cope with the degeneracy of the genetic code in two manners: having more than one tRNA (with a specific anti-codon) for a particular amino acid; and 'wobble' base-pairing, i.e. permitting non-standard base-pairing at the 3rd anti-codon position. The record is from Rfam.